UGCAGAGAGACUGAAAACGCUGACUCGUACCGCUCUUUACUACCUGUUAUUAAAACAGCGUUGCUAAGCAACCGACAAAAUAAAGCUGAGCUGCUCAAGAGCUCACGUGGUGGUUUGAGCAGAAUGAGAGUUUGUAAAGGCAGGCUGCUCAGGCCAUUCAGGAUGACCAUAUUGGCAAACAGCUCCAUUAAUCACCACAGUAGAAGGGUUUGAUGACAAAGAUUAAAAGAGUGUAAGAGACACCAGUGAGCCUCAGAUUACUGCAACUGUCAUCAAAUACCCACCAGGACACACACCCCGAGUCCCUUCGUCUCACUAAUACACCAAUACAGCCGACAUCAGCCUCGCUCUGUUUGGCACAGGUUCUACAGUGUUGUAUGGCUUAGCUGUUAGGCUCCACCCCUUGGACGUUUGCUUCUGCAGCGAGGACG
Molecule: long non-coding RNA, 431 nt
Organism: Neoarius graeffei (lesser salmon catfish)
Lineage: Eukaryota; Metazoa; Chordata; Actinopteri; Siluriformes; Ariidae
Exons: 3
Source: RefSeq, a predicted model, not a curated record